UACAGAGACCUCAAGCGUUAUCCGGAAUCAUUGGGCGUAAAGCGUACCGAUAGGUGGUUUUGAAAGUUUUGGGUAAAAGCCAGAAGCUCAACUUCUGAGUUUGCUCAAAAUACUGCAAAACUAGAGGGGCAAAGAGGAGACUGGAACGAACGGUGUAGUAGUGAAAUGCGUUGAUAUCGUUCGGAACACCGAAAGCGAAGGCAGGUCUCUGGGUGCCACCUGACACUGCUAGGACGAAAGCGUGGGGAGCGAAUGGG
This 257-nucleotide ribosomal RNA is filed under the name uncultured bacterium. RNAcentral's name for it is "partial 16S ribosomal RNA". It matches the Rfam family "Bacterial small subunit ribosomal RNA", at positions 524 to 776 of the family's 1533-position model. The record is from RNAcentral.